UUGAAUAACAAGAGAUUGUGAGUAAUUUUAUUGAAAUCUCAAUUUCAAUAACAUUGGAUUUGAGAAGAGAUUUGAAAAUCACAAAUUCAAUAACAGAUGAUUUUAGUAAAAACCCAAAAUUUUCUAAAAUCCUAAUUCCAAUACACCCCCUGAAGACUCCCAGAGCCAAAAGCCCAAACGAGGGAAGCUUACAAACUCAAUACAAAUUUUACACAAAGACCAAAACCAACAAUGCAAAGCUAACAAAGAUAAAUCUCUAAAACCAAAUGUAGCCGGAUGAGAAGCUUGAAAAGGUCUCCAAGACCAGGAAGACGACGAUGCAGGAGAUCUUCGUCCGAAGAUGAAGAAGACUCAGAGAAAAGGCAUGAAACAAACUCUCGCGGAAGCGAAAGGAUAGUGCUGCAGCCAAACAGAUUAGCAAGGGAUAUGUAGAACCGAGAUGAAGAAGAGCACCAGCAAAAGAAUGAAAAGACACCCCUUUCUCAACUGCUACAUGUCCAAAUGAAACUCAACCCAGUACCUCUAGAAACGCUUCACCACAGGAAGAGAAGAGGAAACAGCUGCUGAAAUGCUCCAAUAGAACUUAUUUAAAUAAACGAUGAGGAAGGAAGCUUCAUCUGCUGGCCGAGGUUAAUGACUUCUUCAACUAAAAGGUGAUAACCUUACCUGUUCUCCCACAAGAAGUCAUCAGGGCUGACCAAAAGGCUAGAAAAAAUUCAAACGCAGCUAAGCAGAAAUAACUUGGAUUCACAGAGAAUCGAAACGGUUGACAAAGGAGACCAAUCGAAUCAACUCAAUCUGAAGCAAAGAGUUGAAAUCAAAGACAGGUCCAUAUCUAGAUCUGAAAUCGAGAUCAAUCUUUGUGGCCAACGAAACCAAACAACAACAACUACAACAAACAACCGAUAAACUAAGCCAGACAAGACCCAGAGGCAAAAAGGAGAGUGGACGAGAGUACCGCACGAGGAAGCGACAAAGCCAAAACCUCCAUCGAUUACCAAGGAUCACACCAACAAAAAGCUACAACCUCGAAUCCAGAUUGGUGUGACUGGAAAAACGACCAACAAAGCUUGGCAAAGACCAGAACAGCCGACAAAGAGACUCGCCGGAGCCAGAUCUGAGCCACUCCUCGGCCACGAAACCCUAACACCACCGAACCCUUUAACUCGCCCCCAAAAUCUCAUCAGCUACUAUACAACUUUACAAACUAAAGGAAACACUACAGAUUCCCUCUCACGGCGCCGUGGUAGCCACCGGAGAGGAAAGCAUAAACGGCGCCUUCGAAGCUCUGUCGCUUUUUUUUUCUCUCUUUUUUUUUUUUUUGUUUUUUUUUCUACUUGCGCCUUUGGAUUAUCUUGUGGCCACUGAUUUCAGUCACUAGUAUUUUAUUUAUUUUGUUUUUAAAGUAAAUAUUUAAAAU
RNAcentral lists this long non-coding RNA (1420 nucleotides) under Arabidopsis lyrata. RNAcentral describes it as "long non-coding RNA (ALYR_LNC000358)". Lineage: Eukaryota; Viridiplantae; Streptophyta; Magnoliopsida; Brassicales; Brassicaceae. The record is from RNAcentral.